AUGUAUUGCGAAGAUGAGGAAGAAGAGCUCGACAUUGUGGAGGAGGCAUUGUUUAUCGAUGAGCUCACCCAAAGAGCUGAGGCACAAAGGAGGAAGCAAAGCAUUCGCAAGGGAUCAUACACCAAAGUAGAGGACACGUUGAUUUGCGAGAGUUGGAUGGAGAUAGGCCAAGAUCCCAAGACCGGUGCCGAGCAAAAGGAUCUGUUUUUUGGAAGAGUGCAUACAACCUUUCAUGAACAGAGGAAGUUGCCACCCUACAAGUUUGCGAGCACCCGUGGCAUUAACUCAAUCCAAAAGAGAUGGGGGUUCAUUCAACAAGAAUGCAACAAGUAUUGUGCCACACUUGAGAGCGCUGAAACCCAUCCCAUGAGUGGCCUAGGCGUGGGUGACUUAGUAUGA
RNAcentral lists this ribosomal RNA (399 nucleotides) under Triticum aestivum (bread wheat). RNAcentral's name for it is "partial small subunit ribosomal RNA". The record is from RNAcentral. Lineage: Eukaryota; Viridiplantae; Streptophyta; Magnoliopsida; Poales; Poaceae.